GCUGCCUUAGCUCAGUUGGUAGAGCGCGUCCUUGGUAAGGACGAGGUCUUGGGUUCAAAUCCCAAAGGUAGCUCCA
This 76-nucleotide transfer RNA is filed under the name Planctomycetota bacterium. Its description in RNAcentral is "Planctomycetes bacterium (soil metagenome) tRNA-Thr". It matches the Rfam family "tRNA". Rfam says of the family: Transfer RNA (tRNA) molecules are approximately 80 nucleotides in length. Their secondary structure includes four short double-helical elements and three loops (D, anti-codon, and T loops). The record is from RNAcentral. Lineage: Bacteria; Pseudomonadati; Planctomycetota.